AACGAACGCUGGCGGCAGGCCUAACACAUGCAAGUCGAACGGACGUAGCAAUACGUUAGUGGCAGACGGGUGAGGAACACGUGGGAACAUGCCCUUUGGUUCGGAAUAACUCAGGGAAACUUGAGCUAAUACCGGAUAAGCCCCUUGGGGGAAAGAUUUAUCGCCAUUGGAGUGGCCCGCGUCCGAUUAGCUAGUUGGUGAGGUAAUGGCUCACCAAGGCGACGAUCGGUAGCUGGUCUGAGAGGAUGAUCAGCCACAUUGGGACUGAGACACGGCCCAAACUCCUACGGGAGGCAG
This 297-nucleotide ribosomal RNA is filed under the name uncultured Pseudomonadota bacterium. RNAcentral describes it as "uncultured proteobacterium partial 16S ribosomal RNA". It matches the Rfam family "Bacterial small subunit ribosomal RNA", at positions 29 to 351 of the family's 1533-position model. Lineage: Bacteria; Pseudomonadati; Pseudomonadota. The record is from RNAcentral.